Molecule: long non-coding RNA, 254 nt
Filed under: Trifolium pratense (red clover)
Lineage: Eukaryota; Viridiplantae; Streptophyta; Magnoliopsida; Fabales; Fabaceae
Description: long non-coding RNA (TPRA_LNC004091)
Source: RNAcentral
GUUGGAGCAAAAUUCACAUCUACCUUGGAAAACAAAAGGGAAAUACACAUAAACGAACCACGAAAACAUCACAAUUCAAAUCGAAUCCCGCUAAAUAAUUUAACUGCAAUCUUCUUCUUCUUCUUCAUUUCCUCGAGUUGCAGCUCCUCACAAGUCGCCACUACACACUCGAUCCCCUUUCAGAAACUAGGGUUAGGGUUUUAGUUCCUCCGCUUCACAGCCAUGGAAGCCGCAGUAAUCGACGCCGGUUCCAG